This 197-nucleotide non-coding RNA is filed under the name Paenalicyclobacillus ferrooxydans. Lineage: Bacteria; Bacillati; Bacillota; Bacilli; Caryophanales; Alicyclobacillaceae. The record is from RNAcentral.
AACUUCAUCAGUGAACAUGGUGCCCACUCUUUUGUGGGUGAAAAGGGAAUCCAGUGAAAGUCUGGAGCGGUCCUCGCCACGGUAAGGUACGAUGCAAGACUCAGGUGUUCAAACACCGGCCACUCGAUGCAUUCGGGGAAGGUGAGUCUUUGCAAAUGAGUCCAAGUCCGGAGACCUGCCAUGUUUGCAAAAGCAAG